GACGAACGCUGGCGGCGUGCCUAAUACAUGCAAGUCGAACGAGAGCGACCGGUGCUUGCACUGGUCAAUCUAGUGGCGAACGGGUGAGUAACACGUGGGUAACCUGCCCAUCAGAGGGGGAUAACAUCCGGAAACGGAUGCUAAAACCGCAUAGGUCUUCGAGCCGCAUGGCUUGAAGAGGAAAAGAGGCGCAAGCUUCUGCUGAUGGAUGGACCCGCGGUGCAUUAGCUAGUUGGUGAGGUAACGGCUCACCAAGGCCGUGAUGCAUAGCCGACCUGAGAGGGUGAUCGGCCACAUUGGGACUGAGACACGGCCCAAACUCCUACGGGAGGCAGCAGUAGGGAAUCUUCCGCAAUGGACGCAAGUAUGACGGAGCAACGCCGCGUGAGUGAAGAAGGUUUUCGGAUCGUAAAACUCUGUUGUUAGAGAAGAACAAGUGCUAGAGUAACUGUUAGCGCCUUGACGGUAUCUAACCAGAAAGCCACGGCUAACUACGUG
Molecule: ribosomal RNA, 498 nt
Filed under: uncultured bacterium
Lineage: Bacteria
Description: partial 16S ribosomal RNA
Rfam family: Bacterial small subunit ribosomal RNA
Source: RNAcentral